UACGUAGGGGGCAAGCGUUGUCCGGAAUUAUUGGGCGUAAAGCGCGCGCAGGUGGUGGAUUAAGUUGGGGGUAAAAGGCAAUGGCUCAACCAUUGUAAGCCUGCAAAACUGGUUCACUUGAGUGCAGGAGAGGGGAGUGGAAUUUCUAUUGGAGGGAUAAAAUACGUUGAUAAUAGAAGGAAGGCCUAAAGCGAAGGCAAUUAUCUGGGUAUAUACUGACACUGAGAAACGAAAGCUUGGGUAGCAAACGGG
RNAcentral lists this ribosomal RNA (252 nucleotides) under uncultured bacterium. RNAcentral's name for it is "partial 16S ribosomal RNA". It matches the Rfam family "Bacterial small subunit ribosomal RNA", at positions 524 to 776 of the family's 1533-position model. The record is from RNAcentral.